Molecule: ribosomal RNA, 253 nt
Filed under: uncultured bacterium
Lineage: Bacteria
Description: partial 16S ribosomal RNA
Rfam family: Bacterial small subunit ribosomal RNA
Source: RNAcentral
UACGUAGGGUGCGAGCGUUAAUCGGAAUUACUGGGCGUAAAGCGUGCGCAGGCGGUGAUGUAAGACCGAUGUGGAAUCCCCGGGCUUAACCUGGGAACUGCAUUGGUGACUGCAUUGCUGGAGUAUGGCAGAGGGGGGUGGAAUUCCACGUGUAGCAGUGAAAUGCGUAGAGAUGUGGAGGAACACCGAUGGCGAAGGCAGCCCCCUGGGCCAAUACUGACGCUCAUGCACGAAAGCGUGGGGAGCAAACAGG